This is a non-coding RNA of Labrus bergylta (ballan wrasse), 856 nucleotides long. NCBI's taxonomy places the organism in Eukaryota, Metazoa, Chordata, Actinopteri, Labriformes, Labridae. The record is from RefSeq and is a predicted model, not a curated record.
ACUCGGAGCCAGCACGAGGAGGAGAGGAAUAGGAGAGGGCGAGAUGUCAUGAAGCGCUGAGGGAGGAGCAGUGAGCCAGAACCCAGCGAGAGGUCAUCCACCCUUACAUAACUGGCCUGGAAACACACCUGGAGAGGAGGUUUCAUGAUCUGGACAUUCUUGGGGCCUUCAGUAUCUUGGGACCCGCACCGCAAUCAACCACUCUACAAGAUGAUACAAUCAACAUCUCUCAUCUGCGGACUCUUGCCAGGAAAUGUUGCCCUGAACAUGAGAAUGAGGUCCUGCAGGAGUGGUCCUCGUUCAAAAAUCAUGUCCUUCCUGGGGCAUUCACGAACAAUAACCAGGAGAUCAUGAGUCUGCUGGCAAGCGAGUUUGAUGAGUGGACCAACCUCUACCCCUGUCUGAGCCUCCUUGCAGGCAUUGCACUUGUUUUACCCGUUUCCUGUGUCAAUUACAACGUGAUUUCUCAACGGUGAACAGGGUAAGAGCAUGACCUUGAACAGGACAACAAAUAAUCAUGCAUUUUCUUCAUAUUAGUGCAGUUUGUGGUAUUUUCUUUGCUUUAUCCUCAGGUGAAAACAGACCUGAAACCAGCUUCAAGGUGAACACCUGGCUGCCUGCCUGAGGAUCUCCAUAAACGGACCCCAUCCUGAGGCCUUCUCAUGUAAUAGGGCAUUGGAAUAUUUUUUCAGAAAGCCCCAUAAAAUAAAAUGUUCAAACACAUCUUGCAAACUUUGCAACAAGUAGGCUGUGGAGCAGUCAAAUGAGCGCUCUGUAUAUAAUUUGAAAGUAAGGCACAACUGGCUUUCUGUCAGGCUGUCACAGUCUGUAGUAAGAUGCCAAAGGGGAAACAUGU